Molecule: ribosomal RNA, 497 nt
Filed under: uncultured bacterium
Lineage: Bacteria
Description: partial 16S ribosomal RNA
Rfam family: Bacterial small subunit ribosomal RNA
Source: RNAcentral
GAUGAACGCUGGCGGCGUGCCUAAUACAUGCAAGUCGAACGCAUAGCGAAAGGUGCUUGCACCUUUCAAGUGAGUGGCGAACGGGUGAGCAACACGUGGACAACCUGCCUCAAGGCUGGGGAUAACAUUUGGAAACAGAUGCUAAUACCGAAUAAAACUUAGUGUCGCAUGACACAAAGUUAAAAGGCGCUUCGGCGUCACCUAGAGAUGGAUCCGCGGUGCAUUAGUUAGUUGGUGGGGUAAAGGCCUACCAAGACAAUGAUGCAUAGCCGAGUUGAGAGACUGAUCGGCCACAUUGGGACUGAGACACGGCCCAAACUCCUACGGGAGGCUGCAGUAGGGAAUCUUCCACAAUGGGCGAAAGCCUGAUGGAGCAACGCCGCGUGUGUGAUGAAGGCUUUCGGGUCGUAAAGCACUGUUGUAUGGGAAGAACAGCUAGAAUAGGAAAUGAUUUUAGUUUGACGGUACCAUACCAGAAAGGGACGGCUAAAUACGUG